This is a long non-coding RNA of Passer domesticus (house sparrow), 554 nucleotides long. RefSeq lists it as uncharacterized. The record is from RefSeq and is a predicted model, not a curated record. Lineage: Eukaryota; Metazoa; Chordata; Aves; Passeriformes; Passeridae. The transcript has 3 exons.
CAGACCCAGCGCCGCAGAGCUGCUCCUCACCCCGUUGCUGCUCUUGGUGUCGUCUGUGCACAGGAAAAGCUGAUAGACUUUUCGUUGGGUUUGUUGUGAUCCAAAUUGGAAAACCCUGGUGUUGUGCAAUUUCCCAUAAAACAGCUGAAUAAGCCAAAGAGGCAAAGUUUGUGAAUCACUGGAGCACUUGGAGAUUUUAGGGUUGGAGAUGAGCUGGGGAAUAAACACCCAUCCCAGACUCCAUUUCCAUUCUUUGCAUCUUUUCCACAAUUUUACACAAAUGUCUCUGGGAAUGAGACAUUUCUCUAGAACAGAGUCACAAAACUUUGGAGGAAAACAAACAUUUCCUGCCUGGAUAUUAAGAAUUCCUGCUGAGCAUGGAGAAUACUGAUGAGCAGCCCGGGAUGUGAGGAUUUUCCACGAACCAGCAAUAGCAACAACCAUUUGUGUAGACCUUGACCUGGGUUGAGGUAGUGACUGGUUGAAAACACUUUGAAAAAGGUUUGGACAGAUCCAGUUUGGGGGGGAAUGGUUCAGUCUGAGAACUCUUGAAU